GGCCCGUCGAUCGACAGGCAGGGGGCGCGGGUGCUGAGCCAUAAGGAUACGCAAUCAAGUCCAAAGUAAGCGAGUUAAUUUAGGUGGAGUGUGCACUCUAGCCGCGAAACUUGUUCCAUACUCGACGCCGGGGAGAGAUACUCCCCGUCGUUGGGGAAGUUGCACCAUCGAGAUGUUACCACGCUCAUGAGGGUAAGUGGAGAACAGAACUCGAUUACGACGAGCCGACAACGACAAGUAAGACAUCUUGCGACUCGAAUAAAUUUGUAUUACGGGUUGAAAUCAUAUACCGCGCUGCAACAAAUAUCAUCGCGCAACAGGAAUAUUUUAAUUUUAAUUAACGAUACACUCGCUCGUUGAUAUCAAUUCGAUAUCAAAUUCGUUUUUUUUCCUUUUUUUUUUUUUUUAAUUUCCUACAUAACAUAAUUUCCGAAUCAACCUCUAUUUCAAUUUUCUGGCGCGUAAGAACGCGAGCGAUGAAAACAAACAAAUGGAAAAAAAAAAUAAAAAUAAAAAUAAAAAUAUUCGAAACAGGGAACGAAAUAAAACCGAAACUAUAUUAUACACGGAAAAUAUAAUUCAUAUCUUAAUUGAAAUUUCCUGAUUGAACUUUGCCAAAUAAUCGACCGACCACCUCCUCCUCCUCCUUUUUUUCUUUCUUCUUUUCUUUUUUUUCUUUUUUUAAUAGCUACAUCCAAUUAUCGUAUUUUCGUGUCGUCGACGGGGACGCCGUUCGUUCCUGGUAAAAGUGCAAGUUCAUUAAUUACCGGAGGGGGAGAGCCGUGCAAGAAUUUCGUCCACGUUUCCGGUCACACGUUCACGUGACUCGGCGAUCGCUUCAUCCAUUAUCCCCGGGACAAAUUUGUUUUCCGAUACGAACGCAGAUAGCGGCACCGUAGCGCAAACGAAUCGUACGAACGGCCGCGCGAUCGUAAAGCAGUCGCGAAAUGACUUGCGAAUUAAUGAACCCCUCCACCCUCCGGCAACUUGUUUCAGAUAACAUCCGCGCACGCGUAACGCGUUCCGGUUGGUCGAUCAUCGUUAAACAGUGGUCACGAAACGUCACGAAAGCGCGUUCGAAUAUCGCGCCUCCGCUCUCUCUUGUGUUUCUUCCUUUCGGUAAUAUACAAUAAUCCCAACAGUGAGAGGGGGAAACUUAGAACUAGAAAAUUGUAUCCUCGAGUGCACGAAUCGUGAACGCGCGCCCCUCGGAAACUCGUUACCCCGCCCGGGAAUUGAGGAUACGAUUAUUAAGUGAGAACUGGCAUAGACGAUUAUGCGGUCUACGCGAUAAUGGCUGGUUGAAUGGGCUUCAUUAAGACGCUGUACGAGUGGCUGGCAUGCCAGGCAGGUGUGCGCGCGCCAGCUCGUGCCUUCUUACGCCCUUGGUUGUUGCGCGCGUGAGGGCGGCGGUGGAAAAUCGCGACGGCGGAGCAGACGCUGGUUCGUAGGCUUCCAUGAAUGUUUAACCGCUCCAUCCUCUUCCGCGGGAUCAGAGGUAACCCGCGCCAGCUGCACGCAGCACGAGGGGUAACGAGAUUACAACGUCAGCAGCGGGGGUGUUGCGACUAACCUUUUCGCGCGUGUCAAAACCGAUAGCGCACCGAUGGAGCUGGAUCAAUGGAGCGGGUCGGCGCAUCGACGGGACGGAUUAAGGGAAUCGAGAGCUAGGAAAAAUCACUGUCCAAUACGAGAAAUGCCUGGACGAGAAACCGAUUGCCCGUCCGUGAGCGUAUUACUGGGUAAAUUUAAUCGACGAAAUCUUCUCUUAAAUGAACUUGUCUCGUCCCCUCUGUUAUUAGAAUUAGAAUUCUUUUCCGUUCCUCUUGCAGGAAAAGGAUCGCGAAUGAAAUGAAAUAUAAUCGGUACGGUAUAAAACGAUACUUUCCCCGUUUUUUUGUAACUUUUGAUCGUUACUUGUCACCCGAGCGACAACGUAGGGAAACAAAAGGAAAAGGCGGAGGGGAGGGGAAGGGAGUGCUUUUAACCCCGGCGAUUAAAGAUUCAAAUAAACAUUUGCGAACGAUAGCCGGCCGGCUAUAAUUACAAGUGGACAAGAAUAAAGGGCCGCCGUGUGCUUGCUCGCAAUAUCGUGCUCCAAAGGACGUCCAUAUUUCAAUAUGCGAAGGACGGGGUGGGGAGACUUUUAAAAAGCAAUUCACUUUAAGCACCCUCCUCCUCCUCCUCCUCCUCCCUCCGUGCACGUGAAUGCGAACGUGAAAAAAAAGGGCAAGUGUAUGCCACUGUAGACCACGGAGAGUUGGUCCACGGAGUUGCGGGGGAGGAGGGGAAUUGUACGCGCGCACAUACAUACGCGCGCCACGUGGAAAGAUGAAAACGUAAGAGAAUAGGCAGAGAGAGGAGCAGUUGCAUACAGAGGUAAAACUCCGCCCCGCAGGAGGCACUUUAGCGGCGCAUCACUUAUGCAUCGUGCGGCCCUCAACUUACAAAGCGAUCCCCCGAGAUUUCUGCCAACUGCCGCUUUUAGCUACGCCGACGGAAGAACAAGCUGUUCUGAAUUAUGUUAUCUGUAUAUGCAGGGAAACCCCCACCUUUCGCUGCACCUCCCUCCAGCUGCACCUGUUGAACCGUGUGCUCUAAUGACGCGGGGUCAUGGAAAAUGACGAACGCGGGGGAGGAUUCUUUAAAUGAACGACGAAAAAUGCGUACAAUUGGAUCGGAUAUGAAGGAAAUCCUUUUUCAAAUUGUGAAACUAAACAAUCGAUUCGAUCGACGAGAUGGAGAAGGUACGUUCGUCAAUCCUGAUGCACGUUAGGAUUUUGAUCGAUAUUUCCAAUCGGGCCAAAUAGUCGGAUCUUUUUUUUUUUUUUUUUUUUUUAUAGAUACGACCUUAACAGAUUUCAGUCAAUCUUCAAUGUCCACGCGUCGCUCAGCUUCACAGCUUUGUCACAUCGAUUUAUUUAACCAUCGAUUUUCCCCGACUUUCGUCGAUAUUUGCCGAAUCUGUCAAAUGUAAAUCGAAAAUUAUUUCCUCGAAUAAUAUGCAGGGAGCGGGUGACAGAGAUUGAAAAUCAUAAGAAACUUGUAGAAUUUUAUUAAAAAUCGUUUCGAAAUUUCCUCCAUGUUUGUGACUCUCCAUUAAUUACUUCCUAUUGACCUAUUUAUUGGAUAUUAAUAUUAUUGAAUCACCAAGAAAUUAUCCUUCGAAUUAGAAUUUUAACGCUAAAGAAAAGAUUCUCAUUAGAAAAAUUUUCUAUAAACGCUUUGCUUCCCAACCCCAUCAACAACCUAGCAGUUUCCUCUUCCCAAGGCUAAGUGGACAGGGCAAAGUUUCCCCGCGGCAUUCUUAGCCCAGGGAUUCCUAAACACGAGCGAUCCCCAAGCGCAUGGGAAUGCUGGACGUAUUUUCGUAGAUGACGAAACGACCUCCCCACCGACUAUUUCGGCGGGAGUAAUUUCGAAAUUGAAGCCAAACUCGGCGGCGUCGGCAAGCAAGCGGACAAGCGAGGCAAAACCGACCAGGCUCGAGGAGCAAGAUGGCUAGCAGGCUUGGGCGGGCGAGUAAACUCUAACUCGAUCCACGGCGGUUUAGCAAGUUUAACCAGGGGCCAUCAACGGCUUCGUUGCGGAAACCGUCGCUUUGGGCCUGGCCUGGAAAAGCGACGUCGCGAGCCUGAAAAAGGAGAAGGGAGAAAGCGGUUAAAUAUAUUCCGAGGAUACGAGAGUUCGAUCGAGUUUGUUGCACGUAAUGUAAUAUGACACACAAGCAUUCUGAUUUCUAAUCAACUUUCGAGCGAAUUAGUCCGAUUUUUGGUGAAAAAUCCUUUGCAUUUAAAUGGAUUGACGUUAUUGAGGGAAUAUAUAUAGAAACAGAACAUGGAUUGCGUAAUUCUAAAAUGAUUCUCUACGUUAAGCUGUGAUCAGGAAGAUCACGGCGUUGCUCUCUCCGAGUGUUGCUCGUUCAUCGAUCUCGAUGAAGAAAAGAAGAGGAGCUACAGGUGAAGAGAGAGAAGAAUAGAGGAAAAGAGAGAGAGAGAGGGGAGGGAGGUGGAUACUUUUAUUACCUCGAGGAUAUAAUAUGAAGAAAAGAGGUUAACAUUCCAUAAAGUAGACGCGGCGAAGAGACAGAAGCAAUUUCACCGUACCGUUGUUAAAUUCAUACAUCCAUCUGUGGGUGUAUAAAAGCGAGACGGGAAAUGUAGGAAGCAUUUUUCUAGCAAUGGCGGCCGUAUAAGAGAAGAGGGGUAUGAUUGAACUGUAAUGAUGCCGCUUUCACAAAGAAUGGAGAGAGAAGUGCGGAAAGUAGGAACAGAAUAAAAUUUCAAACCGACUGUCGAAGAUAAUAAAAGGAACGAACAACAACCGGUGGGAAAGGAGGGGAGAAAAGGGAAAAAAUGGUAUCCGACUCGUCAAUACCGGCUUGACACUGCGAGGGGGAGUAACGCGUAAAGUCUGAAAUUUACUGCUUUGCGCUAUUCCUUGUAAAUGAACGAAAGAAAGAAUUACAUUACAUCUCUUACUCUUCUAAUUCUCUCGUUCUUUCGUAUAACUUCAUUUCUGCACGAAUUUGUAAGAGAAUCUAAUUCAAUUUCUCUGCUCAAAUUUUUUUAAUACGAUUAUAAAUUUUCAUUGAAAAUGCGUUUCAUUUUUCGAUUCGUAAUAAAAAAAGAAGAGAGAGAGAAAAAUUUGAUAAAUUUAUACGAGAGCAUUACGUUCUCUAUUUAUCUUUGUACGUUUGUAUCUUCGUAUUUGCCAUCCUCUUUGACAGGGGAUAGCAAAAUAAGGCUAUAGCCCGUCUUUGUCGCAUAAAGAUCUUCCUCCGCGCACGGAGGAAGAUUUGUGUGGUUAUAUAAGUAGUGAAUUCUGUUUCCUCUUUACAGCUUCUACUUACCAGCACUUAGAAAAUGUUCACCGAGUACACUUUGUGUACACCCGUACGCUUUCCGAACCUCUUUACUCUUUUCGAAGCUGGUCUCUGAGAGUGGUUUCGAGCGACGUCUUCCGUCCCUUCGAACAAAUUCAAUUUACCAACCUCGACAACCAUUGUCGUUAUCUGCCACCCACCGUUGUUUCGCAACGUCCGAUCCUCAUCGAUGAUUUUUUUAAGAAAAUCGCCUUCCCUAAUUUUCCUAAUUUUUACGAACUUUCUUUCGACGGAAAUUUAACGAGUUGUCUUCCUGUCUACAAUUACAAUCGACUCGAUCGUAGUCCAUUUUUCCAACAAAAAGAAAAAAAACGAAUAAAUAAAUAAAUAAA
This is a long non-coding RNA of Apis cerana (Asiatic honeybee), 5217 nucleotides long. RefSeq lists it as uncharacterized. The record is from RefSeq and is a predicted model, not a curated record. NCBI's taxonomy places the organism in Eukaryota, Metazoa, Arthropoda, Insecta, Hymenoptera, Apidae.